GAAGCCGAGCUGCCGGAGGCGACCCCAGAGGAGCUGCAGUUCCUGAGCGAAGCCGAAUCCCAGCUGCUGCCCCGCUGCCCCUCCUCCCCCCCCCCGGCGGCGCCGCCCCCAAAUCGACCCCAAACUUCAGAUCCCAGCUGAGGAUUUCCGGGCUCAGCUGCACCCCACAGCGCACUGCGGCCCCAUGAUCGUCCCGGAGCUGCACCCCGAAUGGCGCCGGACCCCAAUGGAGCUUUUCAGGACCCCCACAGCGGGAUGGCUGCCCCCCGAGAUUUGGGAUCUGUGGGUCCGAGCCGCCCGCCCCACAGCGCCGGAACCCAGCGAGGUGGAGGUGAGUUGUGGGGCCGAUCUGUGGGGUGAGACCCACGGCUGUGGGGUUUUUAUGGGGUCAUUCUGUGGGGUGAGACCCACGGCUGUGGGGUCGUUCUGGGGGUUUUUAUGGGGUCUCUAUGGGGCACAGUGGGUCUCUAUGGGUUCUCUAUGGGGCCAUUCUAUGGGGUCAGACCCACAGCUAUGGGGUCGUUCUGUGGGUCUCUAUGGGGUGGCUAUGGGGUCACUAUGGGGUCUCUAUGGGGUCUCUAUGGGGCCAUUCUAUGGGGUCAGACCCACAGCUGUAGGGUCAUUCUGUGGGUCCUUAUGGGGUUUCUAUGGGGCACAGUGGGUCUCUAUGGGGUUUCUAUGGGGUCUCUAUGGGGUCAGAGCCACAGCUAUGGGGCCGUUGUGUGGGUCUCUAUGGGGUCUCUGUGGGGCACAAGGGGUUUUUAUGGGGUCUCUAUGGGGCACAGUGGGUCUCUAUGGGGUCUCUAUGGGGUCAGACCCACAGCUAUGGGGUCGUUCUGUGGGUCUCUAUGGGGUGGCUGUGGGGCACAGCGGGUCUUUAUGGGGUCCCUAUGGGGCCAUUUUAUGGGGUCAGAGCCACAGCUAUGGGGUCUUUAUGGGGUCUGUAUGGGGUCUCUAUGGGUCUCUAUGGGGUCAACCCCACAAACGCAUCCCAUAUAGGAACCCAGAGAAAUCCCGGAACCGAGUGUGGGGCUGCCACCCUCCUCAGAGCCCCGCCCCCUCUGCCCGAACUUCCGGAAGAGGCGGGACUUCCGCCGGUGGGCGUGGCUUCGUUGCGGCGGUCAGUGGGCGUGGCUUUUUGGGGGGGCGUGGCUUUAAGGCGCGGUUUGACCCCGCCCCCCUCCCCCCCAAACACUUCGUUCCUAUAGGGUGGCGCUGGAGGGGGCGGGGAGACCGGAAGGGGCGGAGCUUAGCGGGCUGCUCCCGAGAUCCGCCCCCCGGAAGUUGUGGGCGCGGCUCUUCCGGGUUUGUCUGGGUAAGGGGGAUGGGGGCGGGGCUUCGGCGGGUGGAGCCAAUGGGAUUUAAGUGA
Molecule: long non-coding RNA, 1369 nt
Filed under: Phasianus colchicus (ring-necked pheasant)
Lineage: Eukaryota; Metazoa; Chordata; Aves; Galliformes; Phasianidae
Description: lncRNA (ENSPCLG00000015716.1)
Source: RNAcentral